UACGUAGGGGGCAAGCGUUGUCCGGAAUCAUUGGGCGUAAAGAGCGUGUAGGCGGCCAGAAAAGUCCGCUGUGAAAACUCGAGGCUCAACUUCGAGCUGUCGGUGGAAACUUUCUGGCUAGAGUCCGGAAGAGGAGAAUGGAAUUCCUGGUGUAGCGGUGAAAUGCGCAGAUAUCAGGAAGAACACCAAUGGCGAAGGCAGCUCUCUGGGACGGUACUGACGCUGAGACGCGAAAGCGUGGGGAGCGAACAGG
This 253-nucleotide ribosomal RNA is filed under the name uncultured bacterium. RNAcentral's name for it is "partial 16S ribosomal RNA". It matches the Rfam family "Bacterial small subunit ribosomal RNA", at positions 524 to 776 of the family's 1533-position model. The record is from RNAcentral.